RNAcentral lists this unclassified non-coding RNA (248 nucleotides) under Chaetomium sp. RNAcentral describes it as "partial internal transcribed spacer region". The record is from RNAcentral. Lineage: Eukaryota; Fungi; Ascomycota; Sordariomycetes; Sordariales; Chaetomiaceae.
AAGUCGUAACAAGGUCUCCAUUGGUAAACUAGUGGAGGGAUUAUUACAAAGUUGCAAAACUCCCUAAACCAUUGUGAACGUUACCUAAACCGUUGCUUCGGCGGGCGGCCCCGGGGUUCUCCCCAGGCGCCCCUGGGCCCUAUCGCGGGCGCUUACCGGAGGUUACCAAACUCUUGAUAAUUUAUGGCCUCUCUGAGUCUUCUGUACUGAAUAAGUUAAAACUUUCAACAACGGAUCUCUUGGUUCUA